RNAcentral lists this long non-coding RNA (31101 nucleotides) under Gossypium barbadense (sea-island cotton). RNAcentral describes it as "long non-coding RNA (GBAR_LNC000039)". Lineage: Eukaryota; Viridiplantae; Streptophyta; Magnoliopsida; Malvales; Malvaceae. The record is from RNAcentral.
CAGCUUUUGAGCCAGGGGAGAAUGUAAGGCCCAAAUUUUGCCCGGGGCCCAAUAAAACCAAACCCAAAUUAAACCUAGCCCAUUACCCAGUUACAAGUCCAAACCCAAUUUUGGCCCAACCUAAUCCCAUUACACUAGCCCAACCCAAACAAAAAAAAAAAAAAAAAACCUUGGCCACCUACUCCACCACCCUUGUUGGCCACCCACCUUGGCCACCUACUCCACCGCGCUUGUUGGCCACUCACCUUGGCCACCUAAAUCACCCCAACCACUUCACUUGUUUACAAAAACUUUAUUUGUAAAAUUUGGCUAUAAAAGCCAUUCAAGAUUUUGUUUUUUAGGGGUUGUUUUUUGUUUUUUGGAAGAGGUGUUUUUUUUGUUUUUUGGAGGAGGUUUGUUUUUUGGAGGAGGGUUGUUUUUUGUUUUUUGGAAUAGGGGUUGUUUUUUGUUUUGGAAAGGCUAGUUUUUGGAGAUUAAUCAAAGAUCAAAGCAAAAGAGGUUUCUUUUGUCUAUUCUCAUCUUAAGUUCUUUGUUUGUUUAUUGUUUUCCUUUCAAUUUUAUUUUGUUUUUUUUUUAUAUACGAAAGUAAAGAUAAAAGUAAGAAGCUUACCCAUAUUUUCAUUACCGAAAAAUAUUUUUUUUUGAGGUCCGGUCGUCGUGUACGGUGGCGCUGAUGGCGGCCCAUGGGGGUCCAUGACCGAAGCAAAGCCGAACCAACGGCCGGAUUUAGAAAAGAGGGAGAAAGAGAGUGGAGAGCUUUGUUUUAUUUUUUUUAUUUUAUUAUUUUUACUAUUAUUUAUAUUAUUAUUAUUAUUUCUCAUGUAUAUAUUAUUAUUUAUAUUAUUAUAUUAUAUAUGCCUUCUCCAUAUUUAUUUAUAUUAUUACUAUCAUUAUUGUUACUUCUAUUAUUUUUUAUUUCUGACUACUAUUUAUAUAUAUAUGUAUUAUUGUUUGUAUUAUUAUUAUUACUAUCACCCCUAUUGUUAUUACUUUACUUUUGUAUUCUAAUAUAUUAUUAAUAUUACUUAUAUUUUCAUUAUUUUUGCUAUUACUAUUAUUAUUAUAUAUUAAUGUAUAUUUUUAUGUAUAUAUAUUUAUAUAUAGUAUUGUUUUUUUAUUACUUUAAUUUAAUAUUUUUAUUAUAUUUGCUUUUUGUAUUUCUAUAUUAUUAUUAUUAUUAUUGUUAUUAUUAUUAUUUUUAUCAUUGUUUGUGUUAUUUAUUUAUUUACAUAUAUAUCAUUUACUGAAGUUUUUAUUUUACUUUUCAUUAUAUUUGAUCUGUGAUUAUUUCGCGUGUUAACUAAUUUUUGUUAUUCUCGUCUCUUAUUUUAUUUUAUAUUAAUGCAUCUAUUAUGCUCAUGUAUAUUAUCCCGUUUUUUUAUUUUAUUUCGAUUUACAAAUAUCACUUUAUGAUUUCUAAUUCUCUAAAUCUAAUUCAAGUUAAAUGAGUAUAUUCCAAGCCGGUUUAUAAUUAUUCGUUUAAAAAUUCUUUAAAACGGAGACGAUGUUCGAUGUUUAGCAAUUCGGGGAAUCGUGCCCUAUCGUGUUGGGUUGUAAUUUCUUGUUUGCCCAAAAUAAUCGGAUGUCUCUUUAGAAUUUCGUUCAUGUUUUUUAAAAACCUUUUAAAACGAAGGAAAUGUUCGACGUUCGGCAAUUCGGGAAAUCGUGCCUUAUCGUGCUAGGUUGUAAUUUCUCGUUUGUGCAAAAUAAUCGAAUAUCCCUUUGUAAUUUCAUUCACAUUUUCCAAAGCGAGACAAUGUUCAACGUUUAGAAAUUCGAAGAACCGUGCCCUACUGUGUUGGGUUUCGAUUCUCUCGUUGGACUAAAUAAUUGGGCAUCCUUUUGCAGUUUUCAACAUAUAAAUUUUUGAAGUCAAAAUUCGUCAUGUUUUCGAGGGCUUAAAGGAUCAUGUCCUAUCGUGCUGGAUGUGAUGUUAUAUUCCUCUUAGGCAAGAGAAUUUUGAUGACUAACUUGAGUUACUCAAAUGUUAUAAAAAAGGAAUCACAUUUCAAAAAUAUUUUUUAAAGCUUAGACAUAAAAACAGUAUUUAAUCGAUUUGGUAUCAAUUUUGGGCGUAGUGAGGGUGCUAAUCCUUCCUCAUGCGUAACCGACUUCCGAGCCCGUUUUCUAAAAUUUUUGUAGACCAAAAUUGUUGUUUUAGUAAAUCAUAAAUGUUUUAUUAAAAUAACCAAAUUUUUAGGUGAUCCAAUCACACCAAAACAAAAGAUCGGUGGCGACUACAUGCAUUUAUUUUUCAAAAGUUGAUUACCCUUUUUUUUUAAAAUUUUAAAAAUUUUAAAUCGAGGAAUGGUUUCGACAGCUUGGCGACUCUGCUGGGGAAAUUUGAGAGUCGAGCCAUAAAAAUCAAUUAUUUACUGUCUUUUUGACGAAAAUUGAAAAUUUACUUUAAAAAUUAUGUAUCUUUUGGUUGCAUUUGAUUGUGUGAUUGUUUUAGUACGGGUCUUGUAAAAAAAACACUGCAUUUCAUUGCAUGACCACUGUGGUCACACCUUCUAAGUGGGAGUAAGAAACUACGUUUUCGUGAGGUUUUCACCUUCGCAUGGGCUAGUGGAUUGCUUUCGGGGUACAUUCGUACCUAUGAUUUCGUGAGAUUUUCAUCUCCGCAUGGUCAUAGUGAAAUGUAUCCCUCUGAAUCGAACUCGAUCUAUAUGAGCCUAUAAUGGGUGAGGAUUGAGGAAUCUGCUAGUUCGGGUACCUUAUCUCUAAAACUAAACCGCAUAUAAUAAACCUUAGGAACCAUCCUUGGAUGAAGCCGCGUCAAGCCUUAGUACUUACCCGUAUAUGCGUCAUAAUUAUCGUUUGUGCUUGCAUUCUAUCGUUAUUAUUUGACACUAACCGGUGUUUUGUUUUGUUUUGUUGUCUUUUUUGCAUAACAUUGCAUAAUAAAGGAGGCGUUAAUCUGUAUUCAAUUACUAAGUUAGAAAAUUUGACAUGGAGAAUGAAUUUCUUAGUAAAGUUGAGAAUAAUGCGGCCGUUCGUGCAUGGUCGGAGAGGCUGCAAUCAGAGAGAGGGGAUAACUUGGUAGAAGGGUAUGUAUCGGAGCUGCAAGAUUUCACUCGCGUCAAUGUAAUACAGAACGAGCUACAAGAGUUGAGAGACAUUUGGGCUAGUUGGAAUGAAGGAAUCAAGCAAUUGUUUUACCAAAAUUAUGGUGACGUAUCCUACCUGCUAAGCAUUAGAGUGGAUAAGAAUUUGUUCCGAGCCUUGGUGCAGUUUUGGAAUUCUGCGUACAAGUGUUUCACUUUUGGGGAAGUGAAUUUGGUACCUACCAUGGGGGAAUACACUACUUUGCUCAGGUGUCCCAAAAUUCAGGUCCGAAAGACUUAUGCUCGGGUUUUUAGUAGUUAGACAUUUGUGAAGAAACUGAUGAGCAUUUCUGGGAUUAGCGAGCCUUGGGUCACUAGUCGGAUUCAGCAAAAAGGAGAUAGCAAAUGUAUCCCUUGGGAGAAUUUGCGAGAUUUGAUCUUGACACAUCUAGAUGAAAGAAAGAGGGUUGAUAUAUUUGCCUUAAGCAUCUACGGAUUAGUGAUCUUUCCUAAGGCUUUGAGGCACGUGGACGAGGCGGUCAUUGACUUGUUUGAUCGCCUUGAAAAGGGAAUCACACCGGUGUCGAUAAUAUUGGCAGAAACGUUCAGAUCUUUGAGUUCAUGUCGAAAGACAGGCAAGGGGCGAUUCAUUGGAUGUGCACAAUUAUUGAUGACAUAGUUCCACGGGCACUUUUAGAAGGUAGACAGAUUCCUAUCGAGUCUUCUCCAAGGGUUAUUUUCCAUUGAAAGAAGAAGCAGCUAUACAGAGGAGAGAGGAUAUCUCAGAGGAGAAGUGGAUGGACAUUCUUCAGAACCUCAAGGAGGGGGAUAUCGAGUGGAGAGCUUAUUGGAUGGUUCCUGACGAGAUCAUGUACCGAUAUGGUAAAUUCGAUUGGAUGCCAUUGUUAGGAAUUUGGGGAGUUACCGGGUAUACUCCACUGUUAGCCUUGAGGUAAUAUAAGUCGAGGCAGUUUGUACCCACGACCUAUGGGCUUGCUCAGAGUGAAUUCUCAUUUAAAUGUGCUCAUUAUAAGAAGAGAGUUUGAGAGUUAUCGGAUUCUUGGAAGCAAACUUGUUGAAUGAAGAGGUUAGCCGUCGGUUCCAUAGUAACGCUUGAGUAUAGCGAGUGGUUUAGGAAGAGGAUUAAUGAUAAUAUUCUUAGGCCAAGCUUGGAGAAUGCUCGGCCUAUCGGGAAACAAUUACAAAUCGCCCCAUCAGAAUUGGAAAUUAUAAGGCAAGAUUUCGAGAAGAAGAGUUCGGAGCUCAGGAAGAAGAUUGAACAGUUAGAAAAAGAGAAGAUGCAUCUAAGGUUAGACGCUGAUGUUCAGAGGUCAGAGGCUGAGAAAUGGAGAAAAGGAAAAACUCAGGCUGAAGAAGACCUAAACAGCUUGAAGACAGACUACAAGAAGCUGCGUCUAUCUAUGAGGACUGCGGGUUUAGGUAAGACUUCCGAAUAAUGGCGUCACGAAAUUCGAGAAGAAAAAGCCAAUACCGAUCGGUGGGAAAGAAAAUUUCGAGAAGCUCAGGCACGAAACGAAGAUUGGGAGAAGAGUCUGUCGAAGAGCAGAAACGAGCGAGGUGAACUAAGGGCUAGAGUGGCAGAACUUGAGAAGUCCCUGCAUCAGUACCGAAAUCGCAACACCCCAAUAGAGCUGAGGGUAAGCUUGAGCCAGAUAGAAGAGAUGAAAAGAAGGAUAGGAGAGUUAGAGGCAUCACUGCAGAACUGUGAGAUACAGAUCCAGUUUUUCGAGGCAAACGAAGAUCGUUGGAAAGAGUAGCUUCACCAUGCGCAAGACCAAGUCAGAAACAGAGAUUACCUUAUGGGGGAAGCCAUGACCCAAAUUCGGGAGGUAGCAGACUACUUGCAAACUUUAGCGGUUCAAGCAGACGUACUGAGCGUGAAGUAUGAGUUGGAGUCGGAUCGCGGACAAGAGCUGGCCUUAUUGCUUAGAAAAAUUAGGACUUUAAGUGUUAGAGCGAAAUUUUAUUUGUAAUUCGACUUUACGUAAAAGAUUUUAUUUUCGAGUGAAAUUUUCUAAGGGUAAUUGAAUCAAAAUUGAUGCCUCCUUUACAUUAAUGCAUUUGUAUUACAUCAUAUCAUUAUGCAUUAAAGGCCAUAAGAGUUUUCUAAUUAAUUAAUUAAAAAUUAUUUCAGUAACCUAGAAAUUAACGAAAACCAACCAACUACGCACUCCUACGGUACAAGAAAAAAAUCAAUGGAUAAGAGACUCGAGAAAUUGGAGCAAAUGCAAAAGGACAUGCAAGAACAAAUGCAGUCUCAGAUAGAAGAGCAGCUAGCCAGGAUUCAGCGAGAGAUAAAGGAGCAAAUGAUGGAGUCCUAGAAAGAAAUGAUGUCCUAGUUAUCCAAAUUGCUGUUGGGAGGAAUGGAUAAGGGAAAGAGUCCCAUGGACCAAGUUGAGGAAACCAAUGAAGAUCUACAAUAUCCCUUGGCUUUACUCCGGUGCAUAUACCGAUGAAACCCGAGAUUAACCUACAAAAAUCAUAGGUCACAAUCAUGCCCCAGCAAGUUCAGGCCGGAGCUUCAAUUCCGAUAAACUUCCAAGCUGGCUCAGGCUCUAACUUUGUCAACAACACGAACUAUCCGCCCGUUCUCGACUUUGAUGAAGUUGCUGAAGAGGAAAAUGUGAGGAUGGAUUCGUAAAAAUAAUUAGAAGAACAUUGUAGAUGGCUCGAGGAAAAACUUAAAGCCAUCAAGAGCGCGGAUCAUCAUCAAGGGAUUGAUGCCAAGGAUCUGAGUCUGGUCCCAGAUUUAGUCCUCUCCCUUAAAUUCAAAAUGCCUGAAUUUGAGAAAUACAAUAGAACAAGUUGCCUUGAAGCCCACAUCACCAUGUUUUGCAGGCGAAUGACGGGAUAUGUUAACAAUGACCAGCUACUAAUCCACUGCUUUCAAGAUAGUCUGGUUAGAGCGGCGUCUAAGUGGUAUAAUCAACUGAGCCGAGCCAAAAUUAACUCAUGGAAGGACCUGGCUCAGGCCUUUAUGAAGCAAUACAAUCAUGUGACGGACAUGACCCCCGACAGAAUCACUCUCCACAAUAUGAAAAAAAAGUCAAAUGAAAGCUUCAGACAGUAUGCACAAAGAUGGAGAGAGGUGGCCAUACAGGUUCAGUCGCCACUUCUAGAAAAGGAGACGACAAUGCUCUUUAUCAACACAUUGAAAGCCUCUUUUAUCACCCAUAUGUUAGGAAGCGCCACAAAAAGCUUCUUCAACAUAGUGAUGACAGGGGAAAUGAUUGAGAAUGCUGUGAGGAGCAGCAAAAUAGAGUCGGGAGAGAGUACCAGAAAGUCAGCCUCAAGGAAAAGGGACAAUGAAGUGAACAACACGAGCACAUUCAACAAGGGGCAGUCCAAGUCAAUUACCGUGAAUCAACCCAAAACAAUGACUACCAAUCAACAAAGCUCUAUAAGACAAGAAUCCAAUUCGAGAAAGAACACAGAAAGGCCACAAUUCACCCCUAUACCCAUGACAUAUAGGGAGUUGUACCAGAACCUACUCAACACUCAUAUAGUAUCCCCUUUCUACCUAGAGCCACUGCAGCUCCCGUAUCCCAAAUGGUAUGACACAAAUACCCAAUGUGAAUACCACGCGAAAAUUACCGGGUACUCAAUCGAGAAUUGCACUGCGUUCAAGAAAGUAGUCGAAAUACUCAUUAAUGUGGGGAUUGGGAAAUUUGAUGACCCAGCCACGCCCAAUGUAGCAGGAAACCCAUUCCCCAAUUAUAUUGACCAAUGAGUGAAUGGGAUAAAUGAAGACUUGAACAAGAAGACCAAGUAUGAGGUGGCAGAAGUCAGGACCCCGUUAAGGCAGGUAUGGAAGGAAAUGGCCAAGAGAGGAUUGAUUGUGUUGGACUCGAGGGAAGAAUCCAAAGAAGAGAGAAACUAUUGUGAGUUUCACGACAAGGUGGGGCAUGAAAUCCAAGAUUGCGUGGAGUUCAGAGCCCUUGUACAAAACAUGAACAAUAAAGAAAUUGAAUUCUAUGAAGAGAUCAAAAACCUCGUAGAAGGAGAUAUAUGUGCAUCGGAGGAAGAAUCAACGGCACAAAAUCGAACGCCUAACUAUCCCGUGGUGAUCAUUUCGAGACCCAAAAAUAAUGAAGCCGGAGUACAAAUGCCACCGAGGGUCAUAAUCUAAAGACCUAUAGUUUUUCCUUACAAAGACAGUAAAAAAGUCCCAUGGAAUUAUGAUUGCAGUCUGAUGAUGCCGGGAAAGGAGAGCCCAGUUGACGCUUUAAGAGGGGACUAAGGCAAGGGUUUCUAUACACGUAGCGGGAGGCGUUACGAUAUGGCGAAUGAGGAGGUGCAGCCCAUAAAAGGAAAAGCCCAGGUUGUUAAAGAAAUGAAGGGAAAAGCAGCCAAACCUAUUAAUUAGCCAGUUAACGAAGAGGAGACCAAGGAGUUUUUAAAAUUCCUAAAGCAUAGCGAAUACAGCGUGGUGGAACAACUACGUAAACAACCAGCCCGUAUUUCGGUGUUGGCCUUACUUCUAAGCUCGGAAGUUCAUCGUAGCGCGCUGAUGAAGGUCUUAAACGAGACAUACGUUGCCAAUGACAUCUCUGUUAACAAGCUGGACCGUUUGGUGAACAACAUAAGUGUCGACAAUUAUAUCUUCUUUAAUGACGAUGAGAUACCACCCGGAGGCAUGGGGUUGACUAAAGCUCUACAUAUCACCACGCGCUGUAGAAGGUACACGCUGCCAGGCGUACUGAUUGACAAUGGGUCGGCUUUGAACGUCCUGCCUUUGACCACGCUGAAUAGAUUACCUAUAGACAGUUCUCACAUGAAGAAGUGCUAGAACAUCGUAAAAGUAUUUGAUGGCACGGAGAGAAGUGAUGGGCAGAAUCGAGGUGCCUUUUCAGAUUGGGCCAAACACAUAUGAGGUGGAUUUUCUCGUAAUGGACAUUAAGCCCUCAUACAAUUGCUUGUUGGGAAGGCCCUGGAUACAUUCGGCUGGGGCAGUGCCUUCCUCGUUGCAUCAGAAAUUGAAGCUAGUAUCGGAAGGGAGAUUGAUGACGAUCAAGGUUGAGGAGGAUAUUAUUGCAACUGUGAGCAAUAAUGCACCCUAUGUGGAGACAGAUGACGAAGUAAUCGAAUGCUCAUUUCGAUCUUUGGAAUUUGUUAAUGCGAUGUUCAUUACCGAGGGAAGCGAAAUUCUGGUGCCAAAAUUGUCCAAAACCACGAGGAUGAGCCUCCAGCUGACGAUUGGAAGAGGGGCCCUACCCAAAAGGGGACUUGGGAGACAUUUGCAAGGAAAGGUUGAAACGCCAAUGCCGGAAGACAAGAGAGAUCGUUUAGGUUUAAGAUUUAAGUCGAAUGCGAAGAAGGGAGCUGGAAAAGAAGUAAGAAAGAAGAAAAACUCGAUUAACGGGGGAGGAAAUCAAGUGGGAACCAAUGACAUUCCCCCAUAUAUCGAAAACAUUUGUGUCCGGGGGAAUCAUUCAUCCCGAGAGACACACCAAUUACGAGAGCUAUAGGAGAAAGGCUGAAAAGCUUGGACAUUAACGUCAUAUGCGAAGAGGAGACUGGAAGAGAGAAUUUGUCAGGCAUUUACCUCUGUACGCCUGCAAGUGUUUUGGACAACUGGACUGCGGAAGAGAUUCCUGUAGUUUUUAGAAUGGAUUCAGAGUAAUGUCUAAAACACACUUAUUGCUCUACGCCUAGGAGUAAUAAGAAUCUUUUGUGAAAUAGGCCGAUGUUUAAAAAUGACAUUUCAGUAAAAUGCACGGUUAUUAUCAUUUUUGGGCAAAUGUUAUCUCGUCAUUUCAAUUUCAUUCAUAAUCAUACAAAUGAUUACUUUCGGAUUCUUUUAUUCUUGAAACAUUCUUUUAAAUAUUCUUUCAUUCCUCAUUCAUAAUCAUAUCAUGCAAAUAAAUGUUUCGAAUUCUUUUGAUUUUUUGUAUCUGCCUUCGUCAUCAUAACAGGUCCCCAGAUAUUAAUGUUAUGAGUGACAUUGUUAGCGACUCAGAAUUUCCUUUCGAGCAAGAUUUGUGUAUGGAUGAUUCUCAGGAUUUUGAAGAGGACCAAAGCUGUAACCUAUCUCCUGAUUUGUUGAGGAUGGUAGAACAAGACGAGAAACAAAUCCUACCUCACAAAGAAUCAGUCGAAAUUGUGAGUUUAAGAGAAGGACAAGAGGUGAAGAUCGGAACAUGUAUCACCGCGGAGAUGAAGCGAGACCUCAUUGAAUUACUUCAAGAAUUCAAAGAUGUGUUUGCAUGGUCAUACCAAGAGAUGCCCGGGUUAGACACUGACAUCGUGGUGCACCGACUCCCCAUAAAAGAAGAGUGUAAGCCUGUUCAGCAAAAACUCCGAAGAAUGAGGCCCGAUGUCUUGCUAAAAAUAAAGGAAGAAGUUCGAAAGCAGUUUGAUGCUGGAUUCCUAAAGGUGGUAAAAUACUCAGAUUUGGUAGCCAACAUCGUCCCUGAUGUGUGUGGACUAUAGAGAUUUGAAUAAAGCCAGCCCAAAAGAUAAUUUCCCACUACCUCAUAUCGACACCGUAGUGGACAACACGGCGGGACACUCACUGUUUUCAUUCAUGGACGGUUUUUUGGGAUAUAACCAGAUUAAGAUGCAUCCUGAAGAUAUGGAGAAAACCACAUUUGUAACUAUGUGGGGCACGUUCUGCUACAAGGUGAUGCCGUUUGGACUAAAGAAUGCAGGGGCAACUUAUCAAAGAGCCAUGGUAACCCUUUUUCAUGACAUGAUGCAUAAAGAAAUCGAGGUCUAUGUUGAUGACAUGAUAGCUAAGUCUCGAACAGAGAAGGAGUACAUACAAGUCCUGGGGAAAUUGUUCUUGAGGUUGAAGAAGUUUCAGCUAAAACUUAACCCCGCCAAAUGUACCUUUGGAACCAAGUUUGGAAAGUUGCUCGGAUUCGUGGUUAGUGAGUAAGGGAUCAAGAUUGAUCCAGACAAAAUUAAAGCCAUACAAGAGCUAUCCCCGCCACACACUCAGAAAGAAGUUCAAGGCUUUCUAGGAAGAUUAAAUUACAUUGCUCGGUUCAUUUCACAACUGACCGAGAAAUGUGACCCUGUCUUUCGACUCUUCAAGAAACAUAACCUAGGUGAAUGGAAUGAAGAAUGCCAAAGGGUUGUCGACAAGGUCAAACAGUAUUUAUCCAACGCCCCGGUGCUGAUGCCACCUAACCCCGAUAAGCCGUUGAUACUAUAUUUGGCAGUAUUCAAGAACUCCACGGGAUGUGUAUUGGGUCAGCAUGACGAGUCGGGAAGGAAAGAAAAAGCUAUUUACUAUCUCAGUAAAAAGUUCAUGGAAUGUGAGGUGAGGUACCCGCCGAUAGAGAAGUUGUGUUGUGCCCUAAUUUGGACAACCCGAGGACUGAGGCAGUAUAUGUUAUAUCACAUCACUUGGCUUAUCUCAAAAUUAGACCCCUUAAAGUACAUGAUGGAGUCAAUAGCUUUGAAUGGAAGGAUGACCCGAUGGCAGAUUCUACUUUCUGAAUUCAACAUAGUCUAUGUGAACCAGAAAGCAGUAAAAGGAAGUGCAAUAGCAGAUUUUUUGGCCAGUAGAGCCUUGGAAGACUACGAGCCUUUGAAUUUUGACUUCCCGAAUGAAGACCUAAUGUGUGUUGUUACCACUGAAGAAGGUGCCCUAGAAGAACUUCCUUGGAAAUUAAACUUCGAUGGGGCGUCAAAUGUUGUGGGCAAUGGAAUCGGGGCCGUCUUGGUAUCCCCAAAUGGAGAUCAUUAUCCAUUCACUAGUAAAUUGGAUUUUGAUUGUACGAAUAACAUGGCGGAAUACGAGGCGUGCAUCAUGGGAGUCCGUGCAGCUAUAGAACGUAAGAUUAAAGUGCUAGAGGUGUAUGGAGAUUCUGCGCUAGUGAUUUAUCAACUCAAGGGAGAAUGGGAGACCAGAGACCCCAAGUUAAUCGAUUAUCGGAAGUUAGUCCUGGAAUUGAUUAAAGAGUUUGAUGACAUUACCUUUCACGAGACGAAAAUCAGAUGGCUGAUGCUUUGGCUACCUUAGCCUCCAUGAUCAAGGUGAACAAACAAGAAGAUGUCAAACCCAUCCGGAUGAGCAUUUAUGAAACUCCGGCCCACUGUUAUAAUAUUGAAAAAGAUGAAGAGAGAUAUGAUCACCCUUGGUAUCACGAUAUAUUGCAAUACAUGAAGAAUCGUGAAUACCCGGACCAGGUAAGCGAGAAUGACAAAAGAACGCUAAGACGAUUGGCCAUCGACUAUGUCUUAGAUGGAGAUAUCCUAUACAAAAGAAGAAAGGAUCAAGUGCUACUAAGAUGUGUAAAUGCUGUAGAGGCUAAGAAAAUCUUGGAAGAAAUCCAUGAAGGCGUCUGUGGGACACAUGCUAAUGGCUUUACAAUGGCCAGGCAAAUUAUGAGAUUCGGGUACUAUUGGUCCACCAUGGAAGGAGACUGUGUCAAUUACGCUAAGAGAUGUCAUAAAUGUCAAAUUUACGGAGACAAAAUUCAUGUGCCUCUUUCACCGCUGCAUGCCAUGGUUUCUCCAUGGCCAUUCUCUAUGUGGGGCAUGGAUGUGAUUGGACCAAUAUCACCGAAAGCUUCCAAUGGUUAUCGGUUCAUCUUCGCGGUUAUCGACUACUUCACCAAAUGGGUAGAAGCUGCUUCGUAUGCUAGUGUGACCAAGUCGGCAGUGAGCAAGUUUCUGAAAAAAGAGAUUAUAUAUCGAUAUGGAAUGCCAGAGAGGAUUAUAUCUGACAAUGCAUUAAACUUGAACUAUAGUACGAUAGCGGAAGUCUGCAGUCAAUUCAAGAUUAGACAUCACAACUCGUCACUGUCGAAACCAUUCCUCGAUUUAAAAAUUUUAAAAUUAAAAAAAAAAGGGUAAUCGACUUUUGAAAAACAAAUGCAUGGAGUCGCCACCGAUCUUUUGUUUUGGUGUGAUCGGAUCACCUAAAAAUUUGGUUAUUUUAAUAAAAUAUUUAUGAUUUACUAAAAUAACAAUUUUGGUCUACAAAAAUUUUAGAAAACGGGCUCGGGAGUCGGUUACGCAUGAGGAAGGAUUAGCACCCUCAGUACGCCCAAAAUUGGUACCAAAUCGAUUAAAUACUGUCUUUAUGUCUAAGCUUUAAAAAAUGUUUUUGAAAUGUGAUUCCUUUUUUAUAACAUUUGAGUAACUCAAGUUAGUCAUCAAAAUUCUCUUGCCUAAGAGGAAUAUAACAUCACAUCCAGCACGAUAGGACAUGAUCCUUUAAGCCCUCGAAAAUAUGAGGAAUUUUGAUUUCAAAAAUUUAUAUGAUGAAAACCGCAAAAGGAUGCCCAAUUAUUUAGUCCAACGAGAGAAUCGAAACCCAACACGGUAGGGCACGGUUAUUCGAAUUUCUAAACGUUGAACAUUGUCUCGCUUUAAAAAACGUGAAUGAAAUUCCAAAGGGAUAUUCGAUUAUUUUGCAGAAACGAAAAAUUGUAACCCAGCACGAUAGGGCACGAUUUCCCGAAUUGCCGAACGUCGAACAUUUCCUUCGUUUUAAAAGGUUUUUAGAAAACAUGAAUGAAAUUCUAAAGAGACAUCCGAUUAUUUUGGGCAAACAAGAAAUUACAACCCAACACGAUAGGGCACGAUUCCCCGAAUUGCUAAACAUCGAACAUCGUCUCCGUUUUAAAGAAUUUUUAAAAGAAUAAUUAUAAAUCGGCUUGGAAUAUACUCAUUUAACUUGAAUUAGAUUUAGAGAAUUAGAAAUCAUAAAGUGAUAUUUGUAAAUCAAAAUAAAAUAAAAAAACGGGAUAAUAUACAUGAGUAUAAUAGAUGCAUUAAUAUAAAAUAAAAUAAGAGACGAGAAUAACAAAAAUUAGCUAACACGCAAAAUAAUCACAAAUCAAAUAUAAUUAAAAGUAAAAUAAAAACUUAAGUAAAUGAUAUAUACGUAAAUAAAUAAAUAACACAAACAAUGAUAAAAUAAUAAUAAUAUAGAAAUACAAAAAACAAAUAUAAUAAAAAUAUUAAAUUAAAGUAAUAAAAAAAACAAUACUAUAUAUAAAUAUAUAUAUAUACAUUAAUAUAUAAUAAUAGUAAUAGCAAAAAUAUUGAAAAUAUGAGUAAUAUUAAUAAUAUAUUAGAAUACAAAAGUAAAGUAAUAACAAUAGGGGUGAUAGUAAUAAUAAUAAUACAAAUAAUAAUACAUAUAUAUAUAAAUAGUAGUCAGAAAUAAAAAAUAAUAGAAGUAACAAUAAUGAUAGUAAUAAUAUAAAUAAAUAUGGAGAGGGCAUAUGUAAUAUAAUAAUAUAAAUAAUAAUAUAUACAUGAGAAAUAAUAAUAAUAUAAAUAAAUAUGGAGAGGGCAUAUGUAAUAUAAUAAUAUAAAUAAUAAUAUAUACAUGAGAAAUAAUAAUAAUAUAAAUAAUAGUAAAAAUAAUAAAAUAAAACAAAUAUCUCCACUCUCUUUCUCCCUCUUUUCUAAAUCCGGCAGUUGGUCCGGCUUUGCUUCGGUCAUGGACCCCUACGGGCUGUCAUCGGCGCCACCGUACACGGUGGCCGGACCUCAAAAAAAACAUUUUUCGGUAAUGAAAAUAUGGGUAAGCUUCUUACUUUUAUCUUUACUUUCGUAUAAAAAAAUUAAAAAGCAAAAUAAAAUUGAAAGGAAAACAAUAAACAAACAAAGAACUUAAUAUGAGAAUAGACAAAAGAAACCUCUUUUGCUUUGAUCUUUGAUUAAUCUCCAAAAACUAGCCUCUCCAAAAACUAGCCUUUCUAAAACAAAAGACAACCCCUAUUCCAAAAAACAAAAAACCACCCUCCUCCAAAAAACAAACCUCCUCCAAAAAAAAAAAAACACCCCCCACAAAAACAAAGUCUUGAAUGGCUUUUAUAGCCAAAUUUUACAAAUAAAUUUUUUGUAAACAAGUGGAGUGGUUGGGGUGGUUUAGGUGGCCAAGGUGGGUGGCCAACAAAGGUGGUGGAGUAGGUGGCCAAGGUGGGUGGCCAACAAGGGUGGUGGAGAAGGUGGCCAAGGUUUUUAUUUAUUUAUUUAUUUUUUUUGUGUUUGGGUUGGGCUAGUGUAAUGGGAUUAGGUUGGGCCAAAAUUGGGUUUGGGCUUGUAACUGGGUAAUGGGCUAGGUUUAAUUUGGGUUUGGUUUUAUUGGGCCCCGGGUAAAAUUUGGGCCUUACAGCUGCCCCUCUUUACUCAUUGUCGUGUAAGGAGAAUGGAGCAAAGACUAUAAAAAUGACCAAAUUUGCCCGGUCUGGCUAAACCUCAAAAUCUUGCUCCUCAUCUUCCCUAAAGGUAUUCUGAUGUCUUCAAGAGUGUCAAAUUUGCUAUCUUCAACUUCCUUCUUGAAAACUCAGAAACAUUGAUCUGUUAUUUUCGAUUUGCUCUCUGCCGCCACAGAGACGCCAAAUCUGUUAUCUUCGAUCUGCUCUCUGCCGUUACGGAGACGCCAAAUCUGUUAUCUUCGAUCUGUUCUCUGCCGCUACAGAGACGCCAAAUCUGUUAUCCUCGAUCUGCUCUCUGUCGCUACAGAGACGCCAAAUCUGUUAUCUUCGAUCUGCUUUCCGCCGCUACAGAGAUGCCAAAUCAUCUUCAAUCUGCUCUCCGCCGCUACAGAGACGCUGAAUCUUGUUACCUUCGAUCUGCUCUCCGCCGCUAUAGAGAUGCCAAAUUUGUUAUCUUCGAUCUCCUCUCCGCCGUUACAGAGAUACCAAAUCUGUUAUCUUUGAUCUGCUCUCCGCCGCUACAGAGAUGCCAAAUCUGUUAUCUUCGAUCUGCUCUCUGCCGCUACAGAGACGCCAAAUCUGUUAUCUUCGAUCUGCUCUCCGCCGCUACAGAGAUGCCAAAUUUGUUAUCUUUGAUCUGCUCUCCGCUGCUAUAUAGACGCCAAAUCUAUUAUCUUCGAUCUGCUCUCCGCCGCUACAGAGAUGCCAAAUCUGUUAUCUUCGAUCUGCUAUCUGCCGCUAUAGAGACGUCAAAUCUGUUAUCUUCGAUCUACUCUCUGCCGCUACAGAGAUGCCAAAUCAUCUUCGAUCUGCUCUCCGCCGCUACAGAGAUGCCAAAUCAUCUUCGAUCUGCUCUCCGCCGCUACAGAGAUGCCAAAUCUGUUAUCUGUUUCAAGGAAGGUCAGAUCUACUAUGCUUUAGCAUGUUACCCUACUGUUUAGGGGAUAAAGGCACAUCGAUCUUCAUUGUCCCUUGAAGGACUUAACCUGUAUAAUGUAUAUGAGUUCAUGCCUAAUGAUUAGGAUGCCAUGACUCGAAUGAGCCAAAUGCUCCUAACUAAAUGAAUGAUUACGAAUGUAUAAAUAUCAUGAGAGUGGUUUCUUUUUAAAUGUUUAAGGUAUCGUUGCUAAUAGUUCAUCUGGGUUCUCAUCGAUGUACUAUCGUGUCUUCUUGCUUAGUCGUUAUCUUUGAUAAAAGAUUCAAAGAAAUAGUCACAACUUGGACUAUUCUUUCUCCAAUGUUUCCCUCUUUUGAGUCUGGUUAAUUCUGCCUAGUGGCCCUGCUUCAGGUCCUUGUACUGUUUAGAAACUUUCCAGAGUAAUAUGCGUAACCUCUUUUAUGUGAAUGUUAUAGGUCCAAAAAUCGUGAUUUCAAAAAAAUGCUCGAAAGAGAUUAUCAUAAUGGACAAGAUGGAAUUUUAUUGAGCAAAAUUUGAAGUGAAUACAUUAAACAGGACAACAAAUCUGGUAAGGCUCAAAAUAAAAUGAGGAAAAGGUGCCCCAGAUAUGCAGCACAAGCUUCACUAUUCUAGUUUCUCAAAGGCUCAUUCAAACCAAAUGUGUGUUCAGGAGAUCCCGCGUCUUUUGUUGAUGCUCCAAGGUGUAACAUUCUUCUGUCUUGCUAAUUUCGGGAGGACAAGACUGUCAUAUGCCCCAUAUUCAAAAUUUGAGCUGCCCGUUUUCGGGUUUUCAACUCAAAGGCCCUUUUGGUUCCAAAGUGCCCUUUGUGGGUUUUCACCUUUGCCUUUUUUUUUUUACGAAUUCAAAGCGCCCUUUGCGGGUUUUCACUCUAGCCGCCCUUUCUUCAGGUGAAAUACUUCUUGACCGAAUCUGAGUUUACAGGAUUGGGCAAGUUUCUACCGUCCAUUUCGGCUAGAAUCAAUGCUCCUCCAGAGAAAACUUUCUUCACCACGUAAGGCCCUUCCCAAUUAGGCAUCCAUUUCCCUCGAAAGUCCUUCUGUAUGGGAAGGAUCUUUUUCAAAACCAGGUCUCUCUCGUGGAAUUCUCUAGGGCGAACCUUUUUGUCAUAAGCCCGCAUCAUUCGCUUUUGGUACAUUUGACCAUGACGGAUAGCUCUUAACCUCUUUUCCUCAAUUAGGUUUAAUUGAUUAUAUCGAGACUGGAUCCAUUCAGCUUCUUCUAACUUUAAAUUUGACAACACUCGAAGAGACGGGAUCUCGACUUCGAUUGGCAACACUGGUUUCAUUCCGUAGACCAAAGAGAAAGGGGUUGCCCCAGUUGAGUUUCUAACUGACGUUCGAUAAGCAAAGAGGGCAAAUGGCAACUUCUCAUGCCAGUUUCUGUAGGUUUCGUUCAUCUUCCCCACAAUUUUUUUAAUGUUUUUAUUGGCCGCUUCCACUACCCCAUUCAUCUUUGGGCGAUAUGGUGACGAGUUAUGAUGUCUGAUCUUGAAUUGACUGCAGACUUCCGCUAUCGUACUAUUGUUCAAGUUUAAUGCAUUGUCAGAUAUAAUCCUCUCUGGCAUUCCAUAUUGAUAUAUAAUUUCCUUUUUCAGAAACUUGCUCACUUCCGACUUAGUCACACUAGCAUACGAAGCGGCUUCUACCCAUUUGGUGAAGUAGUCGAUAAUCGCGAAGAUGAACCGAUGCCCAUUAGAAGCUUUCGGCGAUAUUGGUCCAAUCACAUCCAUGCCCUACAUAAAGAAUGGCCAUGGAGAAACCAUGACAUACAGCGGUGAAGGAGGCACAUGAAUUUUGUCUCCGUAGAUUUGACAUUUAUGACAUCUCUUAGCGUAUAGGAUAUCUCCAUCUAAGACAUACAUCCUUUCUUAUUUUGUAUAGGAUAUCUCCAUCUAAGACAUAGUCGAUGGCCAAUCAUUUUAGCGUUCUUUUGUCAUUCUCGCUUGCCUGGUCUGGGUAUUCACGAUUCUUCAUGUAUUGCAAUAUAUCGUGAUACCAAGGGUGAUCAUAUCUCUCUUCAUCUUCUUUAAUAUUAUAACAGUGGGCCAGAGUUUCAUAAAUGCUCAUCCGGAUGCGUUUGACAUCUUCUUGUUUGUUCACCUUGAUCAUGGAAGCUAAGGUAGCCAAAGCAUCAGCCAUCUGAUUUUCGUCUUGUGGAAGGUAAUGGAAGGUAAUGUUAUCAAACUCUUUAACCAAUUCCAGGACCAGCUUCCGAUAAUCGAUUAACUUGGGGUUUAUGGUCUCCUAUUCUCCCUUGAGUUGAUAAAUCACUAGCGCAGAAUCUCCAUACACCUCUAGCACUUUAAUCUUACAUUUUAUAGCUGCACGGACUCCCAUGAUACACGCCUCGUAUUCCGCCAUGUUAUUCGUACAAUCAAAAUCCAAUUUACUAGUGAAUGGAUAAUGAUCUCCAUUUGGGGAUACCAUGACGGCCCCGAUUCCAUUGCCCACAGCAUUUGACGCCCCAUCGAAGUUCAAUUUCCAAGGAAGUUCUUCUAGGGCACCUUCUUCAGUGGUAACAACACACAUUAGGUCUUCAUUUGGGAAGUCAAAGUUCAAAGGCUCGUAGUCUUCCAAGGCUCUACUGGCCAGAAAAUCUGCUAUUGCACUUCAUUUUACUGUUUUCUGGUUCACGUAGACUAUGUCGAAUUCAGAAAAUAGAAUCUGCCAUCGGGCCAUCCUUCCAUUUAAAGCUGUUGACUCCAUCAUGUACUUUAAGGGGUCCAAUUUUGAGAUAAGCCAAGUGGUGUGAUAUAACAUAUACUGCCUCAGUCUUCGGGUUGUCCAAAUUAGGGCACAACACAACUUCUCUAUCAGCGGGUACCUCACCUCACAUUCCGUGAACUUUUUACUGAGAUAGUAAAUAGCUUUUUCUUUCCUUCCCGACUCGUCAUGCUGACCCAAUACACAUCCCGUAGAGUUCUCGAAUACUGCCAAAUAUAGUAUCAACGGCUUAUCGGGGCUAGGUGGCAUCAGCACCGGAGCGUUGGAUAAAUACUGUUUGACCUUGUCGAAAGCCCUUUGGCAUUCUUCAUUCCAUUCACCUAGGUUAUGUUUCUUGAAGAGUCGAAAGACAGGGUCACAUUUCUCGGUCAGUUGUGAAAUGAACCGAUCAAUGUAAUUUAAUCUUCCUAGAAAGCCUCGAACUUCUUUCUGAGUGCGCGGUGGGGAUAGCUCUUGUAUGGCUUUAACUUUGUUUGGAUCAAUCUCGAUCCCUUUCUCACUAACCACGAAUCCGAGCAACUUUCCAGACUUGGUUCCAAAGGUACAUUUGGCGGGGUUGAGUUUCAGCUGAAACUUCCUCAACCUCAAGAACAAUUUCCCCAGGACUUGUAUGUGCUCCUUCUCUGUUCGAGACUUAGCUAUCAUGUCAUCAACAUAGACCUCGAUUUCUUUAUGCAUCAUAUCGUGAAAAAGGGUUACCAUGGCUCUUUGAUAAGUUGCCCCUGCAUUCUUUAGUCCAAACAGCAUCACCUUGUAGCAGAACGUGCCCCACAUAGUUACAAAUGUGGUUUUCUCCAUAUCUUCAGGAUGCAUCUUAAUCUGGUUAUAUCCUGAAAAACCGUCCAUGAAUGAAAACAGUGAGUGUCCCGCCGUGUUGUCCACUAGGGUGUUGAUAUGAGGUAGUGAGAAAUUGUCUUUUGGGCAGGCUUUAUUCAAAUUGUCUUUUGGACAGGGACGAUGUUGGCUACCCAAUCUGAGUAUUUUACCACCUUCAGGAAUCCAGCAUCAAACUACUUUCGAACUUCUUCCUUUAUUUUUAGCAAGACGUCGGGCCUCAUUCUUCGGAGUUUUUGCUGAACAGGCUUACACUCUUUUUUAUGGGGAGUCAGUGCACCACGAUGUCAGUGUCCAACCCCGGCAUCUCUUGGUAUGACCAUGCGAAGACAUCUUUGAAUUCUUGAAGUAAUUCAAUGAGGUCUCGCUUCAUCUCCGCGGUGAUACAUGUUCCGAUCUUCACCUCUUGUCCUUCUCUUAAACUCACAAUUUCGACUGAUUCUUUGUGAGGUAGGAUUUGUUUCUCUUCUUGUUCUACCAUCCUCAACAAAUCAGGAGAUAUGUUACAGCUUGGGUCCUCUUCAAAAUCCUGAGAAUCAUCCAUACGUACAUCUUGCUCGAAAGGAAAUUCUGAGUCACUAGCAGUGUCACUCGUAUCAUUAAUAUCUGGGGACCUGUUAUGACGACGAAGGCAGAUACAAAGAAUCAAAAAAAUUUGAAACAUUUAUUUGCGUGAUAUGAUUAUUAAUGACGAAUGAAAGAAUAUUUAAAAGAAUGUUUCAAGAAUAAAAGAAUUCGAAAGUAAUCAUUUGUAUGGUUAUGAAUGGAAUUGAAAUGACGAGAUAACAUUUGCCCAAAAAUGAUAAUAACCGUGCAUUUUUCUGAAAUGUCAUUUUUAAACAUCGGCUUAUUUCACAAAAUAUUCUUAUUACUCCUAGGCCUAGAGCAAUAAGUGUGUUUUGGACAUUACUCUGAAUCCGUUCUAAAAACUACAGGAAUCUCUUCCGCAAUCCAGUUGUCCAGAAUACUUUCAGGCGUGCAGAGGUAAAUGCCCGACAAAUUCUCUUUUCCAGUCUCCUCUUCGCAUAUGACGUUGAUGUCCAAGCUUUUCAGCCUUUCUUCUAUAGUUCUCGUAAUUGGCGUGUCUCUCUCGGGAUGAAUGAUUCCCCCGGACACAAAUGUUUUUGAUAUAUGGGGGAAUGUCAUUGGUUCCCACUUGAUUUCCUCCCCCGUUAAUCGAGCUUUUCUUCUUUCUUGAUUCUUUUCCAGCUCCCUUCUCAUUUGUUUCGCAUUCGGCUUAAAUCUUAAACCUAAGCGGUUUCUCUUGUCUUUCGGCAUUGGCGUUUCAACCUUUCCUUGCAGAUGUCUCCCAAGUCCCCUUCCGGGUAGGGCCCCUCUUCUAAUCGUCAGGUGGAGGCUCAUCCUCGUGGUUUUGGACAAUUUUGGCACCAGAAUUUCACUUCCCUCGGUGAUGAACAUCGCCUUAACAAAUUCCAAAUAUCAAAAUGAGCAUUCGAUUGCUUCGUCAUCUGUCUCUAAAUAGGAUGCAUUAUUGCUCACAGUUGCAAUAAUAUCCUCCUCAGCCUUGAUCGUUAUCAAUCUCCCUUUCGAUACUAGCUUCAAUUUCUGAUGCAACAAGGAAGGCACUGCCCCAGCCGAAUGUAUCUAGGGCCUUCCCAACAAGCAAUUAUAUGAGGGCUUGAUAUCCAUUACGAGAAAAUCCACCUCAUAUGUGUUUGGCCCAAUCUGAAGAGGCACCUCGAUUUUGUCCAUCACUUUUCUCUCCGUGCCAUCAAAUGCUUUUAUGAUGUUCUGGCACUUCUUCAUGUGAGAGCUGUCUAUAGGUAAUCUAUUCAGCGUGGUCAAAGGCAGGACGUUCAAAGCCGACCCAUUGUCAAUCAGUACGCCUAGCAGCGUGAACCCUUUACAGCGCGUGGUGAUAUGCAGAGCUUUAGUCAACCCCAUACCUCCGGGUGGUAUCUCAUCGUCAUUAAAGAAGAUAUAAUUGUCGACACUUAUGUUGUUCACCAAACGGUCCACUUGUUAACGGAGACGUCAUUGGCAACGUAUGUCUCAUUUAAGACCUUCAUUAGCGCGCUACGAUGAACUUCCAAGCUUAGAAGUAAAGCCAACACCGAAAUACAGGCUGGUUGUUUACGUAGCUGUUCCACCACGCUGUAUUCGCUAUGCUUUAGGAAUUUUAAAAACUCCUUGGCCUCCUCUUCGUUAACUGGCUUAUUAAUAGGUUUGGUUGCUUUUCCCUUCAUUUCCUCAACCACUUGGGCUUUUCCUUUUAUGGGUUGCACCUCCUCAUUCGCCGUAUCGUAACGCCUCCCGCUACAUGUAUAGAAACCCUUGCUUUGGUCCCCUCUUGAAGCGUCAACAAAGCUCUCCUUUCCCGGCAUCAUCACACUGCAAUCAUAAUUUCAUGGGACCUUUUUGCUGUCUUUGUAAGGGAAAACUGUAGGUCUUUGGAUUAUGACCCUCGGUGGUAUUUGUACUCCGACUUCAUUAUUUUUGGGUCUCGAAAUGAUCACUACGGGAUAGUUAGGCAUUCGAUUUUGUGCUGUCGGUUCUCCCUCCGAUGCACAUAUAUCUCCCUCUACGGGGUUUUUGGUCUCUUCAUAGAAUUCAAUUUCUUUAUUGUUCAUCAUGUUUUGUACUAGGGCUCUGAACUCCACGCAAUCUUGGAUUUCAUGCCCCACAUUGUCGGGAAACUCACAGUAGUUUCUCUCUUCUUUGGAUUCUUCCCUCGAGUCCAACACAAUCAAUCCUCUCUUGGCCAUCUCCUUCCAUACCCGCCUUAACGGGGUCCUGACUUCUGCCACCUCAUACUUGGUCUUCUUGUUCAAGUCUUCACUUAUCCCAUUCACUCCUUGGUCAGUAUGAUUGGGGAGUGGGUUUCCUGCUACAUUGGGCGUGGCUGGGUCAUCAAAUUUCACAACCCCCACCUUAAUGAGUCUUUCGACUACUUUCUUGAACGCAGUGCAAUUCUCGAUUGAAUGCCCGAUAAUUCCCGCGUGUUAUUCACAUUGGGAAUUUGUGUCAUACCAUUUGGGAUACGGGGGCUGCAGUGGCUCUAAGUAGAAAGGGGAUACUACAUGAGCGUUGAAUAGGUUCUGGUACAACUCCCUAUAUGUCAUGGGUAUAGGGGUGAAUUGUGGCCUUUCUGUGUUCUUCCUCGAAUUGGAUUCUUGUCUUACAGAGCUUUUUUGAUUGGUAGUCACCGUUUUGGGUUGAUUCACGGUAAUUGACUUAGACUGCCCCUUGUUGAAUGUGCUCGUGUUGUUUACUUCAUUGUCCCUUUUCCUUGGGGCCGACUUUCUGGCACUCUCUCUCGACUCUAUUUUGCCGCUCCUCACAGCAUUCUCAAUCAUUUCCCUUGUCAUUACUAUGUCGGAGAAGCUUUUUGUGGCGCUUCCUAACAUAUGGGUGAUAAAAGGGGCUUUCAAGGUGUUGAUAAAGAGCAUUGUCGUCUCCUUUUCUAGAAGUGGCGGCUGAAUCUGUAUGGCCACCUCUCUCCAUAUUUGUGCAUACUGUCUGAAGCUUUCAUUUGACUUUUUUUUCAUAUUGUGGAGAGUGAUUCUGUCGGGGGUCAUGUCCGUCACAUGAUUGUAUUGCUUCAUAAAGGCCUGAGCCAGGUCCUUCCAUGAGUAAAUCUUGGCUCGGCUCAGUUGAUUAUACCACUUAGACGCCGCUCCAACCAGACUAUCUUGAAAGCAAUGGAUUAGUAGCUGGUCAUUGUUAACAUAUCCCGUCAUUCGCCUGCAAAACAUGGUGAUGUGGGCUUCAGGGUAACUUGUUCCAUUGUAUUUCUCGAAUUCAGGCAUUUUGAAUUUAGGGGGGAUGACUAAAUCUGGGACCAGACUCAGAUCCUUGGCAUCAAUCCCUUGAUGAUGAUCCGCGCUCUCUAUGGCUUUGAAUUUUUCCUCGAGCCAUCUACAACGUUCUUCCAAUUAUUUUUGCAAAUCCAUCCUCACAUUUUCCUCUUCAGCAGCUUCAUCCAAGUCGAGAACGGGCGGAUAGUUCGGGUUGUUGACAAAGUUAGAGCCUGAGCCAGCUUAGAAGUUUAUCGGAAUUGAAGCUCCGGCCUGAACUUGCUGGGGCAUGAUUGUGACCGAUGGUUUUUCUAAGUUAAUCUCAAGUUUCAUCGGUAUAUGCACCGGAGUAAAGCCAGGGGGUAUUGGAGAUCUUUAUUGGUUUCCUCAACUUGGUCCAUGGAGCCCUUUCCCUUAUCCAUUCCUCACAAUAGCAAUUUGGAUAACUGGGACAUCAUUUCUUUCUGGGACUCCAUCAUUUGCUCCUUCAUCUCUCGCUGAAUCCUGGCUAGCUGCUCUUCCAUCUGAGACAGCAUUUGUUCUUGCAUGUCCUUUUGCAUUUGCUCCAAUUUCUCGAGUCUCUUAUCCAUUGAUUUUUUUCUUAUACCGUAGGAGUGCGUAGUUGGUUGGUUUUCGUUAGUUUCCAGGUUACUGAAAUAACUUUUAAUUAAUUAAUUAGAAAACUCUUAUGGCCUUUAAUGCAUAAUGAUAUGAUGUAAUGCAAAUGUAUGAAUGUAAAGGAGGCAUCAAUUUUGAUUCAAUUGCCCUUAGAAAAUUUCAUUCGAAGAUAAAAUAUUUUACGUAAAGUCGAAUUACAAAUAAAAUUUCUCUCUAACACUUAAAGUCCUAAUUUUUCUAAGCAAUGAGGCCAGCUCUUGUCCGCGAUCCGACUCCAACUCAUACUUCACGCUCGGUAUGUCUACUUGAACCGCUAAAGUUUGCAAGUAGUCUGCUACCUCCCGAAUUUGGGUUAUGGCUUCCCAUAUAAGGUAAUCUCUGUUUCUGACUUGGUCUUGCGCAUGGUGAAGCUGUUGUUCUUUCCAACGAUCUUUAUUUUCCUCGAAAAACUGGAUCCGCAUCUCACAGUUCUGCAGUGAUGCAUCUAACUCUCCUAUCAUUCCUUUCAUCUCUUCUAUCUGGCUCAAGCUUGCCCUCAGCUCUAUUGGGGUGUUGCAGUUUCGGUACUGAUGCAGGGACUUCUCAAGUUCUGCCACUUUAGCCCUUAGUUCACCUCGCUCGUUUCUGCUAUUCGACAGACUCUUCUCUCAAUCUUCGUUUCGUGCCUAAGCUUCUCGAAUUUUUUUUCCCACCGAUCGGUAUUAGCUUUUUCUUCUCGAAUUUCGUGGCGCCAUUGUUCGGAAGUCUUACCUAAACCCGCAGUCCUCAUAGAUAGGCGGAGCUUCUUGUAGUCUGUCUUCAGCUGUUUAGGUCUUCUUCGGCCUUAGUUUUUCUUUUUCUCCAUUUCUCAGCGUCUGACCUCUGAACAUCAGCGUCUAACCUUAGAUGCAUCUUCUCUUAUUCUAACUGUUCAAUCUUCUUCCUGAGCUCCGAACUCUUCUUCUCAAAAUCUUGCCUUAUAAUUUCCAAUUCUGAUGGGGCAAUUUGUAAUUGUUCCCCGAUAGGCCGAGCAUUCUCCAAGCUUGGCCUAGGAAUAUUAUCAUUAAUCCUCUUUCUAAACCACUUGCUAUACUCAGGCGUUACUAUGGAACCGACGGCUAACCUCUUCAUCCAACAAGUUUACUUCCAAGCAUCCGAUAACUCCCGAACUCUCUUCUUAUAAUGAGCACCUUUAAAUAAGAAUUCACUCUGAGCAAACCCAUAGGUCGUGGGUACAAACUGCCUCGACUUAUAUUACCUCAAGGCUAAUAGUGGAGUAUACCCGGUAGCUCCCCAAAGUCCUAACAAUGGCACCCAAUCGAAGUUACCACAUCGGUACAUGAUCUCGUCAAGAACCAUCCAAUAAGCUCUCCACUCGAUAUCCCCCUCCUUGAGGUUCUGAAGAAUGUCCAUCCACUUCUCCUCUGAGAUAUCCUCUCUCCUCUGUAUAGCUGCUUCUUCUUUCAAUGGGAAAUAACCCUCGGAGAAGACUCGAUAGGAAACUUUGUCUACCUUCCAAAAGUGCCCGUGGAACCAUGCCAUCAAUAAUUGUGCACAUCCAAUGAAUCGCCCCUUGCCUGUCUUUCGACAUGAGCUCAAAAAUCUGAACGUUUCUGCCAAUAUUGCCGGUACCGGUGUGAUUCCCUUUUCAAGGCGAUCAAACAAGUCAAUGACCGCCUCGUCCACGUGCCUCAAAGCCUUAGGAAAGAUCACUAAUCCGUAAAUGCUUAAGGCAAAUAUAUCAACCCUCUUUCUUUCAUCUGGAUGUGUCAAGAUCAAAUCUCGCAAAUUCUCCUAAGGGACACAUUUGCUAUCUCUUUUUUGCUGAAUCCGACUAGUGACCCAAGGCUCGCUAAUCCCAGAAAUGCUCAUCAGUUUCUUCACGAAUGUCUGCCUACUAAAAACCCGAGCAUAAGUCUUUCGGACCUGAAUUUUGGGACACCUGAGCAAAGUAGUGUAUUCCUCUAUGGUAGGUACCAAAUCCACUUCCCCAAAAGUGAAACACUUGUACGCAGAAUUUCAAAACUGCACUAAGACUCGGAACAAAUUCUUAUCCACUCUAAUGUCUAGCAGGUAGGAUACGUCACCAUAAUUUUGGUAAAACAAUUACUUGAUUCCUUCAUUCCAACUAGCCCAAAUGUCUCUCAACUCUUGCAGCUCGUUCUGUACUACAUUGACGCGAGUGAAAUCUUACAGCUCCGAUACAUACCCUUCUACCAAGCUAUCCCCUCUCUCUGAUUGCAGCCUCUCCGACCAUGCACGAACGGCCGCAUUAUCCUUGACUUUACUAAGAAAUUCAUUCUCCAUGUCAAAUUUUCUAAAUUAGUAAUUGAAUACAGAUUAACGCCUCCUUUAUUAUGCAAUGUUAUGCAAAAAAGACAAAACAAAACAAAACACCGGUUAGUGUCAAAUAAUAGCGAUAGAAUGCAAGCACAUAAACGAUAAUUAUGACGCAUAUACGGGUAAGUACUAAGGCUUGACGCGGCUUCAUCCAAGGAUGGUUCCUAAGGUUUAUUAUAUGCGGUUUAGUUCUAGAGAUAAGGUACCCGAACCAGUAGAUUCCUCAAUCCUCACCCAUUAUAGGCUCAUAUAGAUCGAGUUCGGUUCAGGGGGAUACAUUUCACUAUGACCAUGCGGAGAUGAAAAUCUCACGAAAUCAUAGGUACAGAUAUACCCCGAAAGCAAUCCACUAGCCCAUGCGGAGGUGAAAACCUCACGAAAGCGUAGUUUCUUACUCCCACUUAGAAGGUGUGACCACAGUGGUCAUGCAAUGAAAUGCAGUGUUUUUUUUUUAUAAAACCCGUACUAAAACAAUCAUACAAUCAAAUGCAACCAAAAGAUACAUAAUUUUUAAAGUAAAUUUUCAGUUUUCGUCAAAAAGGCAGUAAAUAAUUGAUUUUUAUGGCUCGACUCUCAAAUGUCCCCAGCGGAGUCGCCAAGCUGUCGAAACCAUUCCUCGAUUUAAAAUUUUAAAAAUUUUUAAAAAAAGGAUAAUCGACUUUUGAAAAACAAAUGCAUGGAGUUGCCACCGAUCUUUUGUUUUGGUGUGAUCGGAUCACAUAAAAAUUUAGUUAUUUUAAUAAAACAUUUAUGAUUUACUAAAACAACAAUUUUGGUCUACAAAAAUUUUAGAAAACGGGCUCGGGAGUCGGUUACACAUGAGGAAGGAUUAGCACCCUCACUACGCUCAAAAUUGGUACCAAAUCGAUUAAAUACUGUCUUUAUGUCUAAGCUUUAAAAAAUGUUUUUGAAAUGUGAUUCCUUUUUGAUAACAUUUGAGUAACUCAAGUUAGUCAUCAAAAUUCUCUUGCCUAAGAGGAAUAUAACAUCACAUCCAGCACGAUAGGACAUGAUCCUUUAAGCCCUCGAAAACAUGAUGAAUUUUGACUUCAAAAAUUUAUAUGUUGAAAACCGCAAAAGGAUGCCCAAUUAUUUAGUCCAACGAGAGAAUCGAAACCCAACACGGUAGGGCACGGUUCUUCGAAUUUCUAAACGUUGAACAUUGUCUCGCUUUGGAAAACGUGAAUGAAAUUCCAAAGGGAUAUUCGAUUAUUUUACACAAACGAGAAAUUGCAACCCAGCACGAUAGGGCACGAUUCCCCGAAUUGCCGAACGUCGAACAUUUCCUUUGUUUUAAAAGGUUUUUAGAAAACAUGAACGAAAUUCUAAAGAGACAUCCGAUUAUUUUGGGCAAACAAGAAAUUACAACCCAACAUGAUAGGGCACGAUUCCCCGAAUUGCUAAAUAUCGAACCUCGUCUCCGUUUUAAAGAAUUUUUAAACGAAUAAUUAUAAACCGGCUUGGAAUAUACUCAUUUAACUUGAAUUAGAUUUAGAGAAUUAGAAAUCAUAAAGUGAUAUUUGUAAAUCGAAAUAAAAUAAAAAAAACGGGAUAAUAUACAUGAGCAUAAUAGAUGCAUUAAUAUAGAAUAAAAUAAGAGACGAGAAUAACAAAAAUUAGCUAACACGCGAAAUAAUCACAGAUCAAAUAUAAUGAAAAGUAAAAUAAAAACUUAAGUAAAUGAUAUAUACGUAAAUAAAUAAAUAACACAAACAUAUAAAAAUAAAAAUAAAAAUAAAAAUAAUAAUAUAGAAAUACAAAAAGCAAAUAUAAUAAAAAUAUUAAAUUAAAGUAAUAAAAAAACAAUACUAUAUAUAAAUAUAUAUAUACAUAAAAAUAUACAUUAAUAUAUAAUAAUAAUAAUAGUAAUAGCAAAAAUAAUAAAAAUAUGAGUAAUAUUAAUAAUUUAUUAGAAUACAAAAGUAAAGUAAUAACAAUAGGGGUGAUAGUAAUAAUAAUAAUAAUACAAACAAUAAUACAUAUAUAUAUAUAAAUAGUAGUCAGAAAUAAAAAAUAAUAGAAGUAACAAUAAUGAUAGUAAUAAUAUAAAUAAAUAUGGAGAGGGCAUAUAUAAUAUAAUAAUAUAAAUAAUAGUAAAAAUAAUAAAAUAAAAAAAUAAAACAAAGCUCUCCAUUCUUUUUCUCCCUCUUUUCUAAAUCCGGCCGUUGGUCCGGCUUUGCUUCGGUCAUGGACCCCCACGGGCCGCCAUCAGCGCCACCGUACACGGCGACCGGACCUAAAAAAAACAUUUUUCGGUAAUGAAAAUAUGGGUAAGCUUCUUACUUUUAUCUUUACUUUCGUAUAAAAAAGUAAAAUAAAAUUGAAAGGAAAACAAUAAACAAACAAAGAACUUAAGAUGAGAAUGGACAAAAGAAACCUCUUUUGCUUUGAUCUUUGAUUAAUCUCCAAAAACUAGCCUUUCCAAAACAAAAAACAACCCUCCUCCAAAAAACAAACCUCCUCCAAAAAACAAAAAAAAACCCCCCACAAAAACAAAGUCUUGAAUGGCUUUUAUAGCCAAAUUUUUCAAAUAAAUUUUUUUGUAAACAAGUGGAGUGGUUGCGGUGGUUUAGGUGGCUAAGGUGGAUGGCCAACAAGGGUGGUGAAGUAGGUGGCCAAGGUGGGUGGCCAACAAGGGUGGUGGAGUAGGUGGCCAAGGUUUAUUUAUUUAUUUAUUAUUAUUUUUUUUUGUGUUUGGGUUGGGCUAGUGUAAUGGGAUUAGGUUGGGCCAAAAUUAGGUUUGGGCUUGUAACUGGGUAAUGGGCUAGGUUUAAUUUGGGUUUGGUUUUAUUGGGCCCCGGGCAAAAUUUGGGCCUUACAGUCACCAUAUCGCCCAAAGAUGAAUGGGGCAGUGGAAGCGGCCAAUAAAAACAUUAAGAAAAUUGUGGGGAAGAUGACCGAAACCUACUGAGACUGGCAUGAGAAGUUGCCAUUUGCCCUCUUUGCUUAUCGAACGUCAGUUAGAACCUCAACUGGGGCAACCCCUUUCUCUUUGGUCUAUGGAAUGGAAGCGGUGUUGCCAAUCGAAGUCGAGAUCUCGUCUCUUCAAGUGUUGUCAAAUUUAAAGUUAGAAGAAGCUGAAUGGAUCCAGUCUCGAUAUGAUCAAUUGAACCUAAUUGAGGAAAAGAGGUUAAGAGCUAUCCGUCAUGGUCAGAUGUACCAAAAACGAAUGAUGCGGGCUUAUGACAAAAAGGUUCGCCCUAGAGAAUUCCAUGAGGGAGACCUGGUUUUGAAAAAGAUCCUUCCCAUACAGAAGGACUUUCGAGGGAAAUGGAUGCCUAAUUGGGAAGGGCCUUACGUGGUGAAGAAAGCUUUCUCUGGAGGAGCAUUGAUUCUAGCCGAGAUGGACGGUAGAAACUUGCCCAAUCCUGUAAACUCGGAUUCGGUCAAGAAGUAUUUCACCUGAAGAAAGGGCGGCCAGAGUGAAAACCCGCAAAGGGCGCUCUGAAUUCGCAAAAAAAAAAAGAGGCAAAGGUGAAAACCCACAAAGGGCACUUUGGAACCAAAAGGGCCUUUGAGUCGAAAACCCGAAAACGGGCAGCUCAAAUUUUGAAUAUGGGGCAUAUGACAGUCUUUUCCUCCCGAAAUUAGCAAGACAGAAGAAUGUUACACCUUGGAGCAUCAACAAAAGACGCGGGAUCUCCUGAACACACAUUUGGUUCGAAUGAGCCUUUGAGAAACUAGAAUAGUGAAGCUUGUGCUGCGAUAUCUAGGGCACCUUUUCCUCAUUUUAUUUUGAGCCUUACCAGAUUUGUUGUCCUGUUUAAUGUAUUCACUUCAAGUUUUGCUCAAUAAAAUUCCAUCUUGUCCAUUAUGAUAAUCUCUUUCGAGCAUUUUUUUGAAAACACGAUUUUUGGACCUAUAACAUUCACAUAAAAGAGGUUACGCAUAUUACUCUGGAAAGUUUCUAAACAGUAAAAGGACCUGAAGCAGGGCCACUAGGCAGAAUUAACCAGACUCAAAAGCGGGAAACAUUGGAGAAAGAAUAGUCCAAGUUGUGACUAUUUCUUUGAAUCUUCUAUCAAAGAUAACGACUAAGCAAGAAGACACGAUAGUGCAUCGAUGAGAACCCGGAUGAACUAUUAGCAACGAUACCUUAAACAUUUAAAAAGAAAUCACUCUCAUGAUAUUUAUACAUUCGUAAUCAUUCAUUUAGUUAGGAGCAUUUGGCUCAUUCGAGUCAUGGCAUCCUAAUCAUUAGGCAUGAACUCAUAUGCAUUAUACAGGUUAAGUCCUUCAAGGGACAAUGAAGAUCGAUGUGCCUUUAUCCCCUAAACAGUAGGGUAACAUGCUAAAGCAUAGUAGAUCUGACCUUCCUUGAAACAGAUAACAGAUUUGGCAUCUCUGUAGCGGCGGAGAAUAGAUCGAAGAUGAUUUGGCAUCUCUAUAGCGGCGGAGAGCAGAUCGAAGAUGAUUUGGCAUCUCUGUAACGGCGAAGAGCAGAUCAAAGAUAAUAGAUUUGGCAUCUCUGUAGCGGCGGAGAGCAGAUCGAAGAUAACAGAUUUGGCGUCUCUGUAGCGGCGGAGAACAGAUCGAAGAUAACAGAUUUGACAUCUCUGUAGCGACGGAGAGUAGAUCGAAGGUAACAAUAUUUGGCGUCUCUGUAGCGGCGGAGAGCAGAUCGAAGAUGAUUUGGCAUCUCUGUAGCGGUGGAGAGCAGAUCGAAGAUAACAGAUUUGGCGUCUCUGUAGCGGCAGAGAGCAGAUCAAGGAUAACAAAUUUGGCGUCUCUGUAGCGGCGGAGAGCAGAUCGAAGAUAACAGAUUUAGCAUCUCUGUAGCGGCGGAGAGCAGAUCGAAGAUAACAGAUUUGGCGUCUCUGUAGCGGCGGAGAGCAGAUCGAAGAUAACAGAUUUGGCAUCUCUGUAGCGGCGGAGAGCAGAUCGAAGAUAACAGAUUUGGCAUCUCUGUAGCGGCGGAGAGCAGAUCGAAAGUAACAAGAUUUGGCGUCUCUGUAGCGGCGGAGAGCAGAUCGAAGAUAACAGAUUUGGCAUCUCUGUAGCGGCGGAGAGCAGAUCGAAAGUAACAAGAUUUGGCGUCUCUGUAGCGGCGGAGAGCAGAUCGAAGAUGAUUUGGCAUCUCUGUAGCGGCGGAGAGCAGAUCGAAGAUAACAGAUUUGGCGUCUCUGUAGCGGCGGAGAACAGAUCGAAGAUAACAGAUUUGGCAUCUCUGUAGCGGCGGAGAGCAAAUCGAAGAUAACAGAUUUGGCAUCUCCGUAGCGGCGGAGAGCAGAUCGAAGAUAAUAGAUUUGGCGUCUCUGUAGCGGCAGAGAGCAGAUCGAAAAUAACAGAUCGGUGUCCCUGAGUUUUCAAGAAGCAAGUUGAAGAUAGCAAAUUGGACACUCCUGAAGACAUCAGAAUACCUUUAGGGAAGAUGAGGAGCAAGAUUUUGAGGUUUAGCCAGACCGGGCAAAUUUGGUCCUUUUUAUAAUCUUUGCUCCAUUCUCGUUACACGACAAUGAGUAAAGAGGGGCAGCUGUAAGGCCCAAAUUUUGCCCGGGGCCCAAUAAAACCAAACCCAAAUUAAACCUAGCCCAUUACCCAGUUACAAGCCCAAACCCAAUUUUGGCCCAACCUAAUCCCAUUACACUAGCCCAACCCAAACACAAAAAUAAAUAAAUAAAUAAAUAAAAACCUUGGCCACCUACUCCACCACCCUUGUUGGCCACCCACCUUGGCCACCUACUCCACCACCCUUGUUGGCCACCCACCUUGGCCACUUAAACCACCCCAAC